ACGGGAGGCAGCAGUGGGGAAUAUUGGGCAAUGGGCGAAAGCCUGACCCAGCAACGCCGCGUGAAGGAAGAAGGUCUUCGGAUUGUAAACUUCUUUUAUGAGGGACGAAGGACGUGACGGUACCUCAUGAAUAAGCCACGGCUAACUACGUGCCAGCAGCCGCGGUAAUACGUAUGGAGCAAGCGUUAUCCGGAUUUACUGGGUGUAAAGGGAGCGUAGACGGCAAAGCAAGUCUGAAGUGAAAUCCCGGGGCUCAACCCCGGAACUGCUUUGGAAACUGUUUAGCUAGAGUGCAGGAGAGGUAAGCGGAAUUCCUAGUGUAGCGGUGAAAUGCGUAGAUAUUAGGAGGAACACCAGUGGCGAAGGCGGCUUACUGGACUGUAACUGACGUUGAGGCUCGAAAGCGUGGGGAGCAAACAGGAUUAGAUACCCUGGUA
Molecule: ribosomal RNA, 437 nt
Filed under: uncultured bacterium
Lineage: Bacteria
Description: partial 16S ribosomal RNA
Rfam family: Bacterial small subunit ribosomal RNA
Source: RNAcentral